CCUACGGGAGGCAGCAGUGGGGAAUAUUGCACAAUGGGGGAAACCCUGAUGCAGCAACGCCGCGUGGGUGAAGGAGCGUUUCGGCGCGUAAAGCCCUGUCAGCGGGGAAGAAGAAAGACGGUACCCGACCAAGAAGCCCCGGCUAACUACGUGCCAGCAGCCGCGGUAAUACGUAGGUGGCAAGCGUUGUCCGGAUUUACUGGGUGUAAAGGGCGUGUAGCCGGGCUGACAAGUCAGAUGUGAAAUUCCGGGGCUCAACCCCGGACCUGCAUUUGAAACUGUUGGUCUUGAGUAUCGGAGAGGCAGGCGGAAUUCCUAGUGUAGCGGUGAAAUGCGUAGAUAUUAGGAGGAACACCAGUGGCGAAGGCGGCCUGCUGGACGACAACUGACGGUGAGGCGCGAAAGCGUGGGGAGCAAACAGGAUUAGAUACCCGGGUAGUC
RNAcentral lists this ribosomal RNA (441 nucleotides) under uncultured bacterium. RNAcentral describes it as "partial 16S ribosomal RNA". It matches the Rfam family "Bacterial small subunit ribosomal RNA", at positions 338 to 795 of the family's 1533-position model. The record is from RNAcentral.